UUGACCAUGGAGAAGGAGACGGGAGUCCUAGAGCGACCGUCGGUCCCGGAAACGAGAGGCCGUAUCCUAGCGUGGCGGGGGUGGGGUAUGAAUGAGAAACGGAACCUUCUAGCAGCUGUAUUUGACAAAAGAGACACGGAACUCUAAAGCGACGGAUAUGGGAAACGAGACGCGCGACCCUAGAACAACCAACAGUGGGGAACGAGAGGCAGAGUCCUAGAGAGGCAGGUCUUGGGGAACGAAAUACGGAACCCCAGUCGGCUGAUUUUGGCAAAGGAGAGGUGGAACCCAAAAGCGGCCGGACAUGGUAAACGAGACUCAGAAUCCUAGAACGACUGGGAACGGGGAAAUCAGUGGCUGAACCCUCGAGCCGUCCGAUUUGACAGGAUACACGGAACUCUAAAGGAGGUCGACAUGGGAAUCGAGACGCGGAAUCCUAGAGCGUUCGGCGAUGGGGGACAAACGAGACGCAGCAUCCUAGAGUGGCGAGUUGAGGGAGGGGGCGGCGGAGUGAGAAACGAGUGGUGGAAUCCUAGACUGGGGCGGGCAAAAUGAGGGGCGGAACCCUCGAGAGACCAGAUUUGACAACGCGCGGAAUCCUAACGCGGCCGAACAUGGGAAACGAGAUGCAGAGUCCUAGAGGGACCGGUUGAGGAAGGGAAACGAGACGCGGCGUCCUGGAGUUAAAUUGGAGGGAGAAAGUUUCCAACAAAUGCAGGAAUCCAGACAAAUGCAGAAAUCCACAGCAAGGGAAACCCUCCAAAGGCCCUAUUGCCGACUCUAGUACCAGGAGACCCUACACCGAGGGAGGUUUUUAACUGACGCCAGGAACUUUGCUACCAGUGCUUGAGGCCCUUGUGAGCACGAAAGAGCAGACUCUGAAGCUGCUGGUGCUGGAGCAUUUAUGUCCUUGAGUCCUGGGGAGCUGCAGGGUGGGUGCAGGAACACUGUCCAGAGAGUGCGGUCGAAGCUGUGAUUUUGCUGAAGGACCUGGAGGAGUUCGAUAAACCCCACCAUGAGUAAGCUGCAGAUGCUGACAAGAAGUCCUCUCUAAAGAGACAGUGCCUCUGGGAGGAUCUAUGUCACUGAGACUUCACUCCCAGCCUAAGGAGCCCCAUGUCACCUGUGACCCUCUCAGGAGACCCACCCUAUUAGAGAGACAGCUGUUAUGUGUCUAAAUACCAUACAGGAGAAAGGAAAAGAACAGCAUGGCUGAAGGCUUCAAAUGAAAAAUAAAACUGUCAUAUUUAUACUCCACUUGGGUCAGACUUGGAGCUGAGCUGCACCCUCCACAACUAGACUGAAGGACAACUUGCCUUGGAGCUGAUGGGUCCUGGAAAAACACAAUGUUCCCCAAUAAAAAUUUUAAAAAUAAAAAAAAUAAACCAGUAAAACAUCUAUUCUCACUUAGUCCUUCAAACAACUUGAUAAAGUGCAUAUCAGUUGCCAUUUAACAGUUUCCAUUUAAGAAACUGCACCUCAGAGAAUGUGUAUUAGUUAUCUAUUGAUGAGGACCAAAUUACCUCAAAGUUUAAUCGGUAAUUUAGUAUCCAUUGCUACGGUAUAAUCUCCACGACAGCCUUACGUUUGAAUCUUUAAUCCAUUUUGAAUUUAUUUUUGUAGGUGUUGUAAGAUAGUGCCUGUUUCAUUCUUUUGCAUGUGGCUGUCCAGUUUUCCUUGCAGCAUUGGUUGUCGUUACCCUAUUGUAUAUUCUUGGCUCCUCUGUUGUAAGUUAACUGAGCAUAAUAUAUGCAUGAGUUUAUGUCUGGGCUCUAUUCUGUUUCAUUGAUCUGUGUGUCAGUUUUUCUGUCAAUACCAUACUGUUUUGAUGCAGGUACAGUUUUUAAACCACUGUAGAAGAUACCUGUCCCAAGUUCACUCAGCUGCUGAAUGGCAAAAACAAAACAAAAAACCCAGGUGCUAAA
Molecule: long non-coding RNA, 1925 nt
Organism: Rhinolophus ferrumequinum (greater horseshoe bat)
Lineage: Eukaryota; Metazoa; Chordata; Mammalia; Chiroptera; Rhinolophidae
Exons: 3
Source: RefSeq, a predicted model, not a curated record